ACAACAUUCCCUUGAAAUAUGCGCUCUGUCUGCAAGAAAGUUAGAACUCGUGUUUUGCAGAUAUUCAUGCUCCCACCUAUAAAUGACAUUGACAAUGGUCUCUCACAUGCUGAAUCCUUGGGAUCCUCAUUACUUACAUUGGAAAGAGAAAAUGAAAGCUGCUGAGUUGAAUACACCAUGGGUUUCUUUACUGCAGGGUGGUCAUCCACCUUAUUCUUUUUGCAGCCAAGUUGAUGCCUGGAAGGUCAAUCCAACUUUAAGGAUGAAACAAAUGGCGUUGCAAAAAGUUUUAGGUUUUCGACAAAAAAAUUCAAGGCAAGGAUGAGUGAAUGGAACAAAUAC
This is a long non-coding RNA of Telopea speciosissima, 342 nucleotides long. RefSeq lists it as uncharacterized. The record is from RefSeq and is a predicted model, not a curated record. The transcript is spliced from 3 exons. NCBI's taxonomy places the organism in Eukaryota, Viridiplantae, Streptophyta, Magnoliopsida, Proteales, Proteaceae.